GAGGCCGACCGUCUGCUGCAGAGAGAGUCCACCAGGAGAGCUCAGAGGUUCCCAGUGGUCAGUCUGCCCAGCAGCAUCAAACACACCUGGACUCCAUAUUUAUGCUGCUGGAGGACAACAUUGUCACUUUUGUGAAGAACGAGCUGAAGAAGAUCCAGAAGGGUCUGAGUUCAGAUUACCCAGAAUGCUUAGAGAGUCAGAGGGAGGAUGAGGAGGUGUUGG
Micropterus dolomieu (smallmouth bass) is the source of this 222-nucleotide long non-coding RNA. RefSeq lists it as uncharacterized. The record is from RefSeq and is a predicted model, not a curated record. Lineage: Eukaryota; Metazoa; Chordata; Actinopteri; Centrarchiformes; Centrarchidae. The transcript has 3 exons.